CACGUAGGGGACGAGCGUUGUCCGGAUUCAUUGGGCGUAAAGAGCUCGUAGGCGGCUUGUUGCGUCGUCCGUGAAAACCUGUGGCUCAACUACAGGCUUGCGGUCGAUACGGGCGGGCUGGAGUUCGGUAGGGGAGACUGGAAUUCCUGGUGUAGCGGUGAAAUGCGCAGAUAUCAGGAGGAACACCGGUGGCGAAGGCGGGUCUCUGGGCCGAUACUGACGCUGAGGCGCGAAAGCCAGGGGAGCGAACGGG
This 253-nucleotide ribosomal RNA is filed under the name uncultured bacterium. RNAcentral describes it as "partial 16S ribosomal RNA". It matches the Rfam family "Bacterial small subunit ribosomal RNA", at positions 524 to 776 of the family's 1533-position model. The record is from RNAcentral.